RNAcentral lists this ribosomal RNA (497 nucleotides) under uncultured bacterium. RNAcentral's name for it is "partial 16S ribosomal RNA". It matches the Rfam family "Bacterial small subunit ribosomal RNA", at positions 28 to 507 of the family's 1533-position model. The record is from RNAcentral.
GAUGAACGCUGGCGGCGUGCCUAAUACAUGCAAGUCGAGCGAACAGAUGAGGAGCUUGCUCCUCUGACGUUAGCGGCGGACGGGUGAGUAACACGUGGAUAACCUACCUAUAAGACUGGGAUAACUUCGGGAAACCGGAGCUAAUACCGGAUAAUAUAUUGAACCGCGUGGUUCAAUAGUGAAAGACGGUUUUGCUGUCACUUAUAGAUGGAUCCGCGCCGCAUUAGCUAGUUGGUAAGGUAACGGCUUACCAAGGCAACGAUGCGUAGCCGACCUGAGAGGGUGAUCGGCCACACUGGAACUGAGACACGGUCCAGACUCCUACGGGAGGCAGCAAUAGGGAAUCUUCCGCAAUGGGCGCAAGCCCGACGGAGCAACGCCGCGUGAGUGAUGAAGGUCUUCGGAUCGUAAAACUCUGUUAUUAGGGAAGAACAAAUGUGUAAGUAACUAUGCACGUCUUGACGGUACCUAAUCAGAAAGCCACGGCUAACUACGUG